RNAcentral lists this ribosomal RNA (398 nucleotides) under uncultured bacterium. RNAcentral's name for it is "partial 16S ribosomal RNA". It matches the Rfam family "Bacterial small subunit ribosomal RNA", at positions 360 to 776 of the family's 1533-position model. The record is from RNAcentral.
AAUAUUGCACAAUGGAGGAAACUCUGAUGCAGCGACGCCGCGUGAACGAUGAAGGCCUNCGGGUCNUNAAGUUCUUUCCUAGGGGNCGAUAAUGACGGUACCCUAGGAGGAAGCCACGGCUAACUACGUGCCAGCAGCCGCGGUAAUAAGUAGGGGGCGAGCGUUGUCCGGAAUUAUUGGGCGUAAAGGGUUCGUAUGCGGUCUUUUAAGCCAUAUUUGAAAGGUCACGGCUCAACCGUGGUGAGCAUUUGAAACUGAAAGGCUAGAGUUAAGGAGAGGAAAGUGGAAUUCCUAGUGUAGCGGUGAAAUGCGUAGAUAUUAGGAGGAAUACCAGUGGCGAAGGCGACUUUCUGGACUUAUACUGACGCUGAGGAACGAAAGCGUGGGGAGCAAACAGG